CCUACGGGUGGCAGCAGUGAGGAAUAUUGGUCAAUGGACGCAAGUCUGAACCAGCCAUGCCGCGUGCAGGAUGACGGCUCUAUGAGUUGUAAACUGCUUUUGUACGAGGGUAAACCCCGAUACGUGUAUCGGGUUGGAAGUAUCGUACGAAUAAGGAUCGGCUAACUCCGUGCCAGCAGCCGCGGUAAUACGGAGGAUCCGAGCGUUAUCCGGAUUUAUUGGGUUUAAAGGGUGCGUAGGCGGUUUGAUAAGUUAGAGGUGAAAUGUCGGGGCUCAACCCCGAAACUGCCUCUAAUACUGUUAGACUAGAGAAUAGUUGCGGUAGGCGGAAUGUAUGGUGUAGCGGUGAAAUGCUUAGAGAUCAUACAGAACACCGAUUGCGAAGGCAGCUUACCAAACUAUAUCUGACGUUGAGGCACGAAAGCGUGGGUAGCAAACAGGAUUAGAUACCCUGGUAGUC
This 460-nucleotide ribosomal RNA is filed under the name uncultured bacterium. Its description in RNAcentral is "partial 16S ribosomal RNA". It matches the Rfam family "Bacterial small subunit ribosomal RNA", at positions 338 to 795 of the family's 1533-position model. The record is from RNAcentral.